RNAcentral lists this ribosomal RNA (253 nucleotides) under uncultured bacterium. RNAcentral's name for it is "partial 16S ribosomal RNA". It matches the Rfam family "Bacterial small subunit ribosomal RNA", at positions 524 to 776 of the family's 1533-position model. The record is from RNAcentral.
UACGGAGGAGGCAAGCGUUGUUCGGAAUCACUGGGCUUAAAGGGCGUGUAGGCGGGAUGCAAGGUGCUUUGUGAAAGCCCCCGGCUCAACCGGGGAAUUGCUUGGCAAACCAGCAUCCUUGAGGCAGGUAGAGGCGGCCGGAACGUUCGGUGGAGAGGUGAAAUUCGUAGAUAUCGAACGGAACGCCGGUGGCGAAAGCGGGUCGCUGGGCCUGUCCUGACGCUGAGACGCGAAAGCGUAGGGAGCGAACGGG